CAUGAAUUCGUGGUAUAGCGUUAC
Molecule: non-coding RNA, 24 nt
Filed under: Arabidopsis thaliana (thale cress)
Lineage: Eukaryota; Viridiplantae; Streptophyta; Magnoliopsida; Brassicales; Brassicaceae
Source: RNAcentral